This 321-nucleotide unclassified non-coding RNA is filed under the name Hevea brasiliensis (rubber tree). Lineage: Eukaryota; Viridiplantae; Streptophyta; Magnoliopsida; Malpighiales; Euphorbiaceae. The record is from RNAcentral.
GCCCCGGUUGUACUUUCCCUUGCAAUUGUUAGCAUUUUCUGGUGUGAGGCAGUAGUUAUUAGCUUCGCCACAAGGAAAAACUGGUUGACUCUUUAAAGGCUUGCCACCAACUAGAGGAGUAGCAUCAGUAAGCAUUCGACUAAACUCGGAGUCCAUCAUGAACUCAAAAUCCAUGUUGGUAUCCCCUACGGAGAAGUGGUUGUCAUCCGUCAUCUUUUGAACACUAGCUCUGCAAUGGCUUAUGCUCAGCAGAAUCAACCCCACCAUUGCUGCUACUAUAGAGAAAAGCUUCAUUCUGCUUCUUCCUUCCCCUUAAUUUCU